Molecule: long non-coding RNA, 321 nt
Filed under: Setaria viridis
Lineage: Eukaryota; Viridiplantae; Streptophyta; Magnoliopsida; Poales; Poaceae
Description: long non-coding RNA (SVIR_LNC007157)
Source: RNAcentral
UUCCGCUUCAUUGGAGCUUGCCAGUAGUUGAUGUGGGCACCCCUACAAAAUCCUUUUUGGAUAAAGUGGAUUGAAGUGGAAUGGGAGGGAUUGGAGGAGAAAUUAGUUCAUUUUAAACUCAAUUCCUCAUACAAUACUCUUUCUAUUAAAACAAGCCCCUAGAGGUUUACCUCAUGGUUGCUGACCUUCUCCUUCUUGAGCACCUCCAUUGCAACCUCCUCCACCUCUCCUCCUUCUCUGACUCUGAUAAGGAUCAACUAUAAUUGACCAGCCAGCGUGGAGGAGAAGGAAGAGCAACUAACUAAAGGCGCAAUGGCCUGG